Molecule: ribosomal RNA, 241 nt
Filed under: uncultured bacterium
Lineage: Bacteria
Description: partial 16S ribosomal RNA
Rfam family: Bacterial small subunit ribosomal RNA
Source: RNAcentral
UACGGAGGAUCCAAGCGUUAUCCGGAAUCAUUGGUUUAAAGGGUCCGUAGGCGGUUUGGUAAGUCAGUGGUGAAAGCCCAUCGCUCAACCGGUGGAACGGCCAUUGAUACUGCCAGACUUGAAUUAUUAGGAAGUAACUAGAAUAUGUAGUGUAGCGGUGAAAUGCUUAGAGAUUACAUGGAAUACCAAUUGCGAAGCAGGUACUACUAAUGGAUGACGCUGAUGACGAAAGCGUGGUAGC